RNAcentral lists this ribosomal RNA (247 nucleotides) under uncultured bacterium. RNAcentral describes it as "partial 16S ribosomal RNA". It matches the Rfam family "Bacterial small subunit ribosomal RNA", at positions 523 to 769 of the family's 1533-position model. The record is from RNAcentral.
AUACGUAGGGAGCAAGCGUUGUCCGGAAUUACUGGGCGUAAAGGGUGCGUAGGUGGCUUGGCAAGUCAGAUGUGAAAUCCCCGGGCUUAACUCGGGGGGUGCAUUUGAAACUGCUUGGCUUGAGUGCAGGAGAGGAAAGCGGAAUUCCUAGUGUAGCGGUGAAAUGCGUAGAUAUUAGGAGGAACACCAGUGGCGAAGGCGGCUUUCUGGACUGUAACUGACACUGAGGCACGAAAGCGUGGGGAGC